AGUCAAGUGAAUAAGUGCAUCAGGCGGAUGCCUUGGCGAUGAUAGGCGACGAAGGACGUGUAAGCCUGCGAAAAGCGCGGGGGAGCUGGCAAUAAAGCUAUGAUUCCGCGAUGUCCGAAUGGGGAAACCCACUGCAUUCUGUGCAGUAUCCUAAGUUGAAUACAUAGGCUUAGAGAAGCGAACCCGGAGAACUGAACCAUCUAAGUACCCGGAGGAAAAGAAAUCAACCGAGAUUCCGCAAGUAGUGGCGAGCGAACGCGGAGGAGCCUGUACGUAAUAACUGUCGAGAUAGAAGAACAAGCUGGGAAGCUUGACCAUAGCGGGUGACAGUCCCGUAUUCGAAAUCUCAACAGCGGUACUAAGCGUACGAAAAGUAGGGCGGGACACGUGAAAUCCUGUCUGAAUAUGGGGGGACCAUCCUCCAAGGCUAAAUACUCAUCAUCGACCGAUAGUGAACCAGUACCGUGAGGGAAAGGCGAAAAGAACCCCGGGAGGGGAGUGAAACAGAACCUGAAACCUGAUGCAUACAAACAGUGGGAGCGCCCUAGUGGUGUGACUGCGUACCUUUUGUAUAAUGGGUCAACGACUUACAUUCAGUAGCGAGCUUAACCGGAUAGGGGAGGCGUAGGGAAACCGAGUCUUAAUAGGGCGAUGAGUUGCUGGGUGCAGACCCGAAACCGAGUGAUCUAUCCAUGGUCCAGGUUGAAGGUGCCGUAACAGGUACUGGAGGACCGAACCCACGCAUGUUGCAAAAUGCGGGGAUGAGCUGUGGGUAGGGGUGAAAGGCUAAACAAACUCGGAGAUAGCUGGUUCUCCCCGAAAACUAUUUAGGUAGUGCCUCGAGCAAGACACUGAUGGGGGUAAAGCACUGUUAUGGCUAGGGGGUUAUUGCAACUUACCAACCCAUGGCAAACUCAGAAUACCAUCAAGUGGUUCCUCGGGAGACAGACAGCGGGUGCUAACGUCCGUUGUCAAGAGGGAAACAACCCAGACCGCCGGCUAAGGUCCCAAAUGAUAGAUUAAGUGGUAAACGAAGUGGGAAGGCACAGACAGCCAGGAUGUUGGCUUAGAAGCAGCCAUCAUUUAAAGAAAGCGUAAUAGCUCACUGGUCGAGUCGUCCUGCGCGGAAGAUGUAACGGGGCUCAAAUCUAUAACCGAAGCUGCGGAUGCCGGUUUACCGGCAUGGUAGGGGAGCGUUCUGUAGGCUGAUGAAGGUGCAUUGUAAAGUGUGCUGGAGGUAUCAGAAGUGCGAAUGUUGACAUGAGUAGCGAUAAAGCGGGUGAAAAGCCCGCUCGCCGAAAGCCCAAGGUUUCCUACGCAACGUUCAUCGGCGUAGGGUGAGUCGGCCCCUAAGGCGAGGCAGAAAUGCGUAGUCGAUGGGAAACAGGUUAAUAUUCCUGUACUUGAUUCAAAUGCGAUGUGGGGACGGAGAAGGUUAGGUUGGCAAGCUGUUGGAAUAGCUUGUUUAAGCCGGUAGGUGGAAGACUUAGGCAAAUCCGGGUUUUCUUAACACCGAGAAGUGAUGACGAGUGUCUACGGACACGAAGCAACCGAUACCACGCUUCCAGGAAAAGCCACUAAGCUUCAGUUUGAAUCGAACCGUACCGCAAACCGACACAGGUGGGCAGGAUGAGAAUUCUAAGGCGCUUGAGAGAACUCGGGAGAAGGAACUCGGCAAAUUGAUACCGUAACUUCGGGAGAAGGUAUGCCCUCUAAGGUUAAGGACUUGCUCCGUAAGCCCCGGAGGGUCGCAGAGAAUAGGUGGCUGCGACUGUUUAUUAAAAACACAGCACUCUGCCAACACGAAAGUGGACGUAUAGGGUGUGACGCCUGCCCGGUGCCGGAAGGUUAAUUGAAGAUGUGCAAGCAUCGGAUCGAAGCCCCGGUAAACGGCGGCCGUAACUAUAACGGUCCUAAGGUAGCGAAAUUCCUUGUCGGGUAAGUUCCGACCCGCACGAAUGGCGUAACGAUGGCCACACUGUCUCCUCCCGAGACUCAGCGAAGUUGAAGUGGUUGUGAAGAUGCAAUCUACCCGCUGCUAGACGGAAAGACCCCGUGAACCUUUACUGUAGCUUUGCAUUGGACUUUGAAGUCACUUGUGUAGGAUAGGUGGGAGGCUUGGAAGCAGAGACGCCAGUCUCUGUGGAGUCGUCCUUGAAAUACCACCCUGGUGUCUUUGAGGUUCUAACCCAGACCCGUCAUCCGGGUCGGGGACCGUGCAUGGUAGGCAGUUUGACUGGGGCGGUCUCCUCCCAAAGCGUAACGGAGGAGUUCGAAGGUUACCUAGGUCCGGUCGGAAAUCGGACUGAUAGUGCAAUGGCAAAAGGUAGCUUAACUGCGAGACCGACAAGUCGGGCAGGUGCGAAAGCAGGACAUAGUGAUCCGGUGGUUCUGUAUGGAAGGGCCAUCGCUCAACGGAUAAAAGGUACUCCGGGGAUAACAGGCUGAUUCCGCCCAAGAGUUCAUAUCGACGGCGGAGUUUGGCACCUCGAUGUCGGCUCAUCACAUCCUGGGGCUGUAGUCGGUCCCAAGGGUAUGGCUGUUCGCCAUUUAAAGUGGUACGUGAGCUGGGUUUAAAACGUCGUGAGACAGUUUGGUCCCUAUCUGCAGUGGGCGUUGGAAGUUUGACGGGGGCUGCUCCUAGUACGAGAGGACCGGAGUGGACGAACCUCUGGUGUACCGGUUGUAACGCCAGUUGCAUAGCCGGGUAGCUAAGUUCGGAAGAGAUAAGCGCUGAAAGCAUCUAAGCGCGAAACUCGCCUGAAGAUGAGACUUCCCUUGCGGUUUAACCGCACUAAAGGGUCGUUCGAGACCAGGACGUUGAUAGGUGGGGUGUGGAAGCGCGGUAACGCGUGAAGCUAACCCAUACUAAUUGCCCGUGAGGCUUGACUCU
Molecule: ribosomal RNA, 2893 nt
Filed under: Neisseria gonorrhoeae
Lineage: Bacteria; Pseudomonadati; Pseudomonadota; Betaproteobacteria; Neisseriales; Neisseriaceae
Description: 23S ribosomal RNA
Rfam family: Bacterial large subunit ribosomal RNA
Source: RNAcentral